GCCUGUUUGAGUGUCUUGAAAACUCAUCCUAAUCGGGUCUUCCUGUAUUAGUGAUGGAUUGGGUGUCUGCCGUCUCCGGCUCGCCUUAAAAACAUAAGGGAAUGACCCAGAUGUAAUACGUUUCAUCUACAAGUCGCUCCCUCACAAACACCAUCUUUCAUUCUGACCUCAAAUCAGGUAGGGCUACCCGCUGAACUUAA
RNAcentral lists this unclassified non-coding RNA (200 nucleotides) under soil metagenome. RNAcentral's name for it is "partial contains internal transcribed spacer 2 and large subunit ribosomal RNA". The record is from RNAcentral.